Molecule: ribosomal RNA, 334 nt
Filed under: Laparocerus crassirostris
Lineage: Eukaryota; Metazoa; Arthropoda; Insecta; Coleoptera; Curculionidae
Description: partial 12S ribosomal RNA
Source: RNAcentral
AAUACCCUAUUAUUUUUAAAGUAAUUUAUAAAGCCUAAUUAGUAAUAGUUAAGUUCUCGAAAAUUAAAGAAUUUGGCGGUAUUUUAGUCUAUUCAGAGGAAUCUGUCCUAUAAUUGAUAAUCCACGAUUUUUUAUACCUAUUUUAUUAAUUUACAUAUCGCCGUAGUUUGAAUAUUUUUUGAAAAUUAUAAUAUUCAUAAUUUAUUUUUAUAAAAAAAAUCAGGUCAAGGUGUAGUUUAUGAGUAGGAAGAGAUGGGUUACAAUAAAAAUAUUUAUAUAUGGAUUAAUAAAUUAAAUUUUUUUAUGAAGGUGGAUUUGAUAGUAAUUUUAUUUA